UACGAAGGGGGCUAGCGUUGCUCGGAAUCACUGGGCGUAAAGGGUGCGUAGGCGGGUCUUUAAGUCAGGGGUGAAAUCCUGGAGCUCAACUCCAGAACUGCCUUUGAUACUGAGGAUCUUGAGUUCGGGAGAGGUGAGUGGAACUGCGAGCGUAGAGGUGAAAUUCGUAGAUAUUCGCAAGAACACCAGUGGCGAAGGCGGCUCACUGGCCCGGUACUGACGCUGAGGUGCGAAAGCGUGGGGAGCAAGCAGG
Molecule: ribosomal RNA, 253 nt
Filed under: uncultured bacterium
Lineage: Bacteria
Description: partial 16S ribosomal RNA
Rfam family: Bacterial small subunit ribosomal RNA
Source: RNAcentral